This 546-nucleotide ribosomal RNA is filed under the name uncultured bacterium. RNAcentral's name for it is "bacterial SSU rRNA". It matches the Rfam family "Bacterial small subunit ribosomal RNA", at positions 745 to 1320 of the family's 1533-position model. RNAcentral also lists the same sequence under 1 other name. The record is from RNAcentral.
GCUUAAGCCAAAAGGUGGGGAAGCAACAGAUUUAAUCCCUGGUAGCCACACGUAAAACGAUAAUGCAAGUUGUCGGUUGCAAUCCAGUUCGGUGACCCAGUUACGCAUUAAGCAAUCCGCCUGGGAAGUCCGGUCGCAAGAUUCAAACUCAAAGGAAUUGACGGGGGGCCGGCACAAAGCGGUGAAGCAAUGUGGUUUAAUUCGAAGCAACGCGCAGAACCUUACCACCUUUUUGACAUGCCUGGACCGCCACGGAGACGUGGCUUUCCCUUCGGGACUGGACACAGGUGCUGCAUGGCUGUCGUCAGCUCGUGUCGUGAGAUGUUGGGUUAAGUCCCGCAACGAGCGCAACCUUCGCCAUUAGUUGCCAUCAUUCAGUUGGGAACUCUAAUGGGACUGCCGGUGCUAAGCCGGAGAAGGUGGGGAUGACGUCAAGUCCUUCAUGGCCCUUACAGGGUGGGCUACACACGUGCUACAAUGGCAACUACAGAGGGUUAAUCCUUAAAAGUUGUCUCAGUUCGGAUUGUCCUCUGCAACUCGAGGGCA